AGGAAUUUAGGUUAACAUCCCAGACCAAGAGCCUUCAAAGCUCUAAGCAAGUGAAUCCACUUAAUUCCUG
This is a non-coding RNA of Equus caballus (horse), 70 nucleotides long. NCBI's taxonomy places the organism in Eukaryota, Metazoa, Chordata, Mammalia, Perissodactyla, Equidae. The record is from Ensembl.